RNAcentral lists this ribosomal RNA (406 nucleotides) under uncultured bacterium. Its description in RNAcentral is "partial 16S ribosomal RNA". It matches the Rfam family "Bacterial small subunit ribosomal RNA", at positions 30 to 526 of the family's 1533-position model. The record is from RNAcentral.
AUUGAACGCUGGCGGCAGGCCUAACACAUGCAAGUCGAACGAGUGGCGGACGGGUGAGUAAUGUCUGGGAAACUGCCUGAUGGAGGGGGAUAACUACUGGAAACGGUAGCUAAUACCGCAUACCAUCGGAUGUGCCCAGAUGGGAUUAGCUAGUAGGUGGGGUAAAGGCUCACCUAGGCGACGAUCCCUAGCUGGUCUGAGAGGAUGACAGGUCACACUGGAACUGAGACACGUUCCGGACUCCUACGUGAGGAAGAAGUGGGGAAUAUUGCACAAGGGGCGCAGUCCUGAGACAGCCAGGCGGCGUGUAUGAAUAAGGCCUUCGUGUGUUAAAGUACUUGCAGCGGGGAGGCGUUACCCGCAGAAGAAGCACCGGCUAACUCCGUGCCAGCAGCCGCGGUAAUAC